UUCCAGGCAGUCUGUGAGAUGUUUGAUGUCCGAGGCAAACAGCACAUUCAGAUCCCCAAGCUCUACACCUCCAGUGUGACCAGGCACCUGCACCACUUCAGGCUCAUGCAGGACUCACAGCCUUUGGACCUCAGCUAAAGCCCUCAGCAGCAAGCACACCAAGAAUGUGUUCACCAUGAAGCUCAAAUCUCAGCAGAAUCUAGAGUCUGAAAUCCA
RNAcentral lists this long non-coding RNA (216 nucleotides) under Homo sapiens (human). RNAcentral describes it as "non-protein coding lnc-EFCAB3-5:1". Lineage: Eukaryota; Metazoa; Chordata; Mammalia; Primates; Hominidae. The record is from RNAcentral.